Non-coding RNA from Vicia faba (fava bean), 240 nucleotides. NCBI's taxonomy places the organism in Eukaryota, Viridiplantae, Streptophyta, Magnoliopsida, Fabales, Fabaceae. The record is from the annotation of a GenBank genome assembly.
AUGGCUAUUUCUACUGCUACUCGUCAUUUGUUCACUUUCUUUGUGUUCUUCUGCUUCGCUCUUCGCCUUAUUUCUGCUGAGGUUCGUAUUGCUGCUGCACUUUGUGGUAGGCCAAGUGGAACAUGGAAUGGACCUUGUGUCGGCUCUAGCAUAUGCAAUGAUCAGUGCAAGGAGAGAGAGAACGCUAUCGGUGGAGGCUGCAACGUUUUGGCUUGUUACUGUCAUUAUUUAUGUCAGUAA